CGACCUCAGGGCAGGCGAGGCUACCCGCUGAAUUUAAGCAUAU
RNAcentral lists this ribosomal RNA (43 nucleotides) under Dociostaurus maroccanus. RNAcentral describes it as "partial 28S ribosomal RNA". Lineage: Eukaryota; Metazoa; Arthropoda; Insecta; Orthoptera; Acrididae. The record is from RNAcentral.